UGCAUCAGCCGGGAAUCUAACCCGGGGCGCCCGCGUGGCAGGCGAGCAUUCUACCACUGAACCAAAAGC
Molecule: transfer RNA, 69 nt
Filed under: Cordylochernes scorpioides
Lineage: Eukaryota; Metazoa; Arthropoda; Arachnida; Pseudoscorpiones; Chernetidae
Description: tRNA-Gly
Source: RNAcentral